CCAGGACGAGCGUGAGCAGGAUGACAAACCCCAGCAUGAAGACAAUCCUGGGGAAAGUCAAGAAAAGGUGCUGCAGAGAAAGAGAGAAGGUGGUGUGUCCUGCUCUGACACCUCCACAAAGGUGCCUCAGGCACUCUCAGCUCUUUCAUAAACUUUACUACAUCAGCUAGUCACCGGAUGGAAAUUCCCUCUCUGUGAGCCACAUCUGCCGAGUGACAGAUCCCGGAGAUGGGAAUCUGGAGGAUGGGAAGUGCUGUGAGAAAAACCCCCCACUUCUAAAGUAUUCAGCAGGGGCAGUUUUCUAAAUCUAGUUAUGUGUAUAAAACAGAUAAAACCCCGCAGUCUGCCCCAAAACCCUGCACAAAACCCUGCAGUCUGCCCCAAAACCCUGCAGUCUGCCCCAAAACCCUACAGUCUGUCCCAGAACCCUACAGUCUGUCCCAGAACCCUACAGUCUGUCCCAGAACCCUACAGUCUGCCCCAAAACCCACCGUCUGUCCCAAAACCCUGUACUCUGCCCCAAAACCCUGUACUCUGCCCCAAAACCCUGCACAAAACCCUGCACUCUGCCCCAAAACCCUGUACUCUGCCCCAAAACCCUGCACACUGCCCCAAAACCCUGCACACUGCCCCAAAACCCUGGACUCUGCCCCAAAACCCACCAUCUGUCCCCAUGCAGGGGAGCAGGACGUGGUUCCUGACUGCAGAGUGCGAGCCAGGACAUUUCCCAGCGCGGACCCACCUGGACGAGGACGGGAAUCUCCACGGGCUGCUCCUGUCCCUGGGCAUCCAGGUAGGUGCCGUGCAGGAGGUUGGAGAGCAGCAGCAGCUGGAGCAGCAGUGCAGCCGUGACAGCGGCCACAGCCCCGGCCGUGGCCGUCAGGGACAGCAGGUAGAGCAGGAACACGCCGGCGUUGGCGGCCCCGAUGCAGUUGUUGACCCACACGCAGUGGUGGUCGAAGCGAUGCACGCACGUCCUGCACACACCUGCAGGAGGCAGGGGCAAAACAAGUGUCUUGGCAUUUCCUUUUUAAGUAAGCAGUUUGAUCUUUAUGUGUUUUUUUUUAAGCUGAAAGUAUGUGGGAGUUGAAGUCAGGGUUUAGCUGGCAGCUUUUGAAGCAAAUAAAUUCAAUUGUGUAUCCUAAGAAAA
Taeniopygia guttata (zebra finch) is the source of this 1150-nucleotide long non-coding RNA. RefSeq lists it as uncharacterized. NCBI's taxonomy places the organism in Eukaryota, Metazoa, Chordata, Aves, Passeriformes, Estrildidae. The record is from RefSeq and is a predicted model, not a curated record.